CUAGCCCUCUCCAUCUUCAUUAAGAUGUUGUUUGGCAGUAGGAGACACAGUAUUGCAGAAACCUAAAUUUUAGCAAAGCAAGGUCUUUAAUGUUUGUGAAUAUGGGAAAUAGCAAGCUUUGAUAUUAAACAACAACAACAAAAAAACAAAACGCUGAUUGAGAUCUAGCCAAGCCUUUUCCCAGGUUUGAAGCUCAACUCUGGGACCGUAAUUCUGAUUAUCCUUUCAGGAGGGGAGACUUCAAGGGAUUUUACUCUGACAUCUUCUGGACUUCUAUUUGUUGCACGUCUGAAUGUCUGAUGCCAAGUCUUUGUGGUCUACCAGCAAACCUUGGAUUAAAUGAGGAACUGCCUCUUAUAUGAAGAAGACGCACAAAGUAGUGUGGAGCUGCUGGGGACAAAGCCUGAAGUUGACAUCAUCCUUCAAUUCUCAUCAAUAGAAGUAAAUGAAAAUACUCAAAUGACAACAUGGAGAAACACUGAAGGCAGUCAAAGUAAAACACGCCAUUCUGAUAGUGUGCAACAGUACUCUGGAGGAUGCUCAGUUCAGCUUUCUUGUGAUACCGUUAUUGACUGA
This 576-nucleotide long non-coding RNA is filed under the name Numida meleagris (helmeted guineafowl). Its description in RNAcentral is "lncRNA (ENSNMEG00000014434.1)". The record is from RNAcentral. Lineage: Eukaryota; Metazoa; Chordata; Aves; Galliformes; Numididae.